UGGGGAAUUUUGGACAAUGGGCGCAAGCCUGAUCCAGCCAUGCCGCGUGCGGGAAGAAGGCCUUCGGGUUGUAAACCGCUUUUGUCAGGGAAGAAAUCUUCUGAGUUAAUACCUCGGGAGGAUGACGGUACCUGAAGAAUAAGCGCCGGCUAACUACGUGCCAGCAGCCGCGGUAAUACGUAGGGUGCAAGCGUUAAUCGGAAUUACUGGGCGUAAAGCGUGCGCAGGCGGUUUUGUAAGACAGAGGUGAAAUCCCCGGGCUCAACCCGGGAACUGCCUUUGUGACUGCAAGGCUUGAGUGCGGCAGAGGGGGAUGGAAUUCCGCGUGUAGCAGUGAAAUGCGUAGAUAUGCGGAGGAACACCGAUGGCGAAGGCAAUCCCCUGGGCCUGCACUGACGCUCAUGCACGAAAGCGUGGGGAGCAAACAGGAUUAGAUACCCUGGUAGUCCACGCCCUAAACGAUGUCAACUGGUUGUUGGGAAGGUUCCUUCUCAGUAACGUAGCUAACGCGUGAAGUUGACCGCCUGGGGAGUACGGCCGCAAGGUUGAAACUCAAAUGAAUUGACGGGGUCAUAGCUGUUUCCUG
RNAcentral lists this ribosomal RNA (586 nucleotides) under uncultured bacterium. Its description in RNAcentral is "partial 16S ribosomal RNA". It matches the Rfam family "Bacterial small subunit ribosomal RNA", at positions 355 to 1376 of the family's 1533-position model. The record is from RNAcentral.